UACGGAGGGUGCAAGCGAUAUCCGGAAUCACUGGGUUUAAAGGGUGCGUAGGCGGCUUGAUAAGGCAGGGGUGAAAGCCCGCAGCUUAACUGCGGAACUGCCUUUGAUACUGUCGAGCUUGAAAGAGGUUGAGGUCAGCGGAACGUGACAUGUAGCGGUGAAAUGCAUAGAUAUGUCACAGAACACCGAUUGCGAAGGCAGCUGGCUGGACCUACUUUGACGCUGAGGCACGAAAGCGUGGGCAGAUAACAGG
RNAcentral lists this ribosomal RNA (253 nucleotides) under uncultured bacterium. Its description in RNAcentral is "partial 16S ribosomal RNA". It matches the Rfam family "Bacterial small subunit ribosomal RNA", at positions 524 to 776 of the family's 1533-position model. The record is from RNAcentral.